RNAcentral lists this long non-coding RNA (966 nucleotides) under Rhinopithecus roxellana (golden snub-nosed monkey). RNAcentral's name for it is "lncRNA (ENSRROG00000045814.1)". Lineage: Eukaryota; Metazoa; Chordata; Mammalia; Primates; Cercopithecidae. The record is from RNAcentral.
AGCACUGGUCCCUGCAGGUGGAGCCGGGCUUGGAGGUGUCUGGCCAACUGGGUGGGGGUGAGGCCGACCUCCCAGCUGCAAACACAAGGACACUGAGAUGCAAGGAAAGGAGAACCCACACUGGAGAAACUCAUGUUGCAGGGGCCUCUUCUCCCUCAGUUCCCGGCUUGGUGAUGGUGGAGGGUAAGAAAAUGGAUCCUCCCGCUACAACAUCAAACCAGGCCAAACGCGUAUUUUUCUCUUCCUUCCCUUUUCUUGUUUUGUAAUUGACAGCUCCUCAGGAGUACCAAUAAUGUCCUAGAAGGAAUAAAAUAAAGUUUCCGAAGGCUUUGUGACCCAGAGCCCUUUGCAGGUGUUCACGGAACACACAGGCUGCCUGGAGGCCUUGGCCCUCCAGGCAAACACCACCAGAAGUCCCCAGAUGCGGAACAGGCAGCAAGGAGCCUCCCCGAGAUCUCCCAGAGGGAGCACAGCCCUGCCAAAGUAUUGGUUUCGGACUUCUGGCUUCCAGAGCUACGAGAAAAUAAAUAUUUGUUAUUUAAGCCACCAGGUUUGUGGCGAUUUGUUAUGACAGCCUCAGGAAACUCCUGCAACAAGGAGCCCUCACUGCUGGCGCGAUCUGUCCGCACGAUCCGUCCGUGGUGUAAACACCAGCUCCGGAUGCUGUCCCAGGUGCUUGUGACCCUCUCUCCAAACAUCAGGAUUCAAAAUGUGUUAUCCACAAGGAUGACUCAGUUGCCCUGUGAAAAUUACUCCAGUAGAGAAGGUUCGUAGCUUGCAAUUUUGAUGAGGAAUUUAGCCAAAAUAUCGAAUCUAGAAAAAAAAAGUCAAUGACAGGCUUGAUGAUACUUGUUUUGACAGAGACAGAGACGCUAGGUCUGCCCUUUGUUGGAGAACAGCUUCGUCAGAUGUGGAUUUUACAAGCAAAAUGGAAGCUGCUUGUAUUAGGGGGAAGUGAAGGUUUUG